CUCUGCAGAGCACAGUAGAGUAGCUCCCUCCAGUUCAUCUUCAACACAAACCAUGCUGUCUGUGGCACUACUGAUGUUGAUGCUAACCAGGAUAUUCAGUGUUCACUGUGUUGACCUGACACAGCCCAGUUCUUUGAGCGUCCGACCUGGCCAGUCAGUGACCAUCAGCUGUAAGGUCUGCAGGAAAAGUUGUCCUUGGGGUUCCUGAGUUCAGCCCACGUGGGACAAAAAGCUGCCCCAUAGCCCCUGAAGCUACCAGUACCUCAGGUU
Molecule: long non-coding RNA, 270 nt
Organism: Electrophorus electricus (electric eel)
Lineage: Eukaryota; Metazoa; Chordata; Actinopteri; Gymnotiformes; Gymnotidae
Source: RefSeq, a predicted model, not a curated record